Molecule: non-coding RNA, 23 nt
Filed under: Arabidopsis thaliana (thale cress)
Lineage: Eukaryota; Viridiplantae; Streptophyta; Magnoliopsida; Brassicales; Brassicaceae
Source: RNAcentral
ACCCCUGGUCGAGUAUCAUCACU